This 253-nucleotide ribosomal RNA is filed under the name uncultured bacterium. RNAcentral's name for it is "partial 16S ribosomal RNA". It matches the Rfam family "Bacterial small subunit ribosomal RNA", at positions 524 to 776 of the family's 1533-position model. The record is from RNAcentral.
GACGGAGGAUGCAAGCGUUAUCCGGAAUGAUUGGGCGUAAAGCGUCUGCAGGUGGCAGUUCAAGUCUGCUGUCAAAGACCGGGGCUUAACUUCGGAAAGGCAGUGGAAACUGAACAGCUAGAGUAUGGUAGGGGCAGAGGGAAUUCCUGGUGUAGCGGUGAAAUGCGCAGAUAUCAGGAGGAACACCAAUGGCGAAGGCAGCACUCUGGGACGUGACUGACGCUGAGACGCGAAAGCGUGGGGAGCAAACAGG